UACAGAGGGUGCGAGCGUUAAUCGGAAUUACUGGGCGUAAAGCGUGCGUAGACGGUUAUUUAAGUCGGAUGUGAAAGCCCCGGGCUCAACCUGGGAAUUGCAUUCGAGACUGAAUAGCUAGGGUACGGUAGAGGGAAGUGGAAUUUCCGGUGUAGCGGUGAAGUGCGUAGAUAUCGGAAGGAACAUCAGUGGCGAAAGCGACUUCCUGGACCAGUACCGACGUUCAGGCACGAAAGCGUGGGGAGCAAACAGG
RNAcentral lists this ribosomal RNA (253 nucleotides) under uncultured bacterium. RNAcentral's name for it is "partial 16S ribosomal RNA". It matches the Rfam family "Bacterial small subunit ribosomal RNA", at positions 524 to 776 of the family's 1533-position model. The record is from RNAcentral.